RNAcentral lists this ribosomal RNA (517 nucleotides) under uncultured bacterium. Its description in RNAcentral is "partial 16S ribosomal RNA". It matches the Rfam family "Bacterial small subunit ribosomal RNA", at positions 29 to 523 of the family's 1533-position model. The record is from RNAcentral.
AGCGAACGCUGGCGGCGUGCCUAACACACGCAAGUCGAACGCGAAAUCGGGGCAACUCGAGUGUAGCGUGGCGCACGGGUGAGUAACGCGUAGGUAAUCUGCCCUUCAGUGGGGGAUAACUUGUCGAAAGAUAAGCUAAUCCCGCAUACGUGAGCACCAUACUUUGGUGUUCAGAAAGGUGGCAGUCUUCGGAUUGCUAUCGCUGAUGGAUGAGCCUGCGUCAGGAUUAGCUAGUUGGUGGGGUAAUGGCCUACCAAGGCUACGAUCCGUAGCUGAUCUGAGAGGAUGAUCAGCCACACUGGAACUGAGACACGGUCCAGACUCCUACGGGAGGCAGCAGUGGGGAAUAUUGCGCAAUGGGCGAAAGCCUGACGCAGCGACGCCGCGUGAGGGAAGAAGGUCUUCGGAUUGUAAACCUCUGUCGAGAGGGAAGAAACAGCCCGGUGCUAAUAUCACCGGGCCUUGACGGUACCUCUAAAGGAAGCACCGGCUAACUCCGUGCCAGCAGCCGCCGUAA